UAGGGAAUUUUCCACAAUGGACGAAAGUCUGAUGGAGCAACGCCGCGUGAACGAUGAAGGUCUUCGGAUUGUAAAGUUCUGUUGUUAGGGACGAAUAAGUACCGUUCGAAUAGGGCGGUACCUUGACGGUACCUGACGAGAAAGCCACGGCUAACUACGUGCCAGCAGCCGCGGUAAUACGUAGGUGGCAAGCGUUGUCCGGAUUUAUUGGGCGUAAAGCGCGCGCAGGCGGCUAUGUAAGUCUGGUGUUAA
This 252-nucleotide ribosomal RNA is filed under the name uncultured Brevibacillus sp. RNAcentral's name for it is "partial 16S ribosomal RNA". It matches the Rfam family "Bacterial small subunit ribosomal RNA", at positions 355 to 598 of the family's 1533-position model. The record is from RNAcentral. Lineage: Bacteria; Bacillati; Bacillota; Bacilli; Caryophanales; Paenibacillaceae.